This 431-nucleotide ribosomal RNA is filed under the name uncultured bacterium. Its description in RNAcentral is "bacterial SSU rRNA". It matches the Rfam family "Bacterial small subunit ribosomal RNA", at positions 29 to 507 of the family's 1533-position model. The record is from RNAcentral.
AACGAACGCUGGCGGCAGGCCUAACACAUGCAAGUCGAGCGCCCCGCAAGGGGAGCGGCGGACGGGUGAGUAACGCGUGGGAACGUACCCUUUGCUACGGAAUAGCCUCGGGAAACUGGGAGUAAUACCGUAUGUGCCCCUUCGGGGGAAAGAUUUAUCGGCAAAGGAUCGGCCCGCGUUGGAUUAGGUAGUUGGUGGGGUAAUGGCCUACCAAGCCGACGAUCCAUAGCUGGUUUGAGAGGAUGAUCAGCCACACUGGGACUGAGACACGGCCCAGACUCCUACGGGAGGCAGCAGUGGGGAAUCUUAGACAAUGGGCGCAAGCCUGAUCUAGCCAUGCCGCGUGAGCGAUGAAGGCCUUAGGGUGUAAAGCUCUUUCAGUGGGGAAGAUAAUGACUGUACCCACAGAAGAAGCCCCGGCUAACUCCGUG